UUUACACAAUGUAAAUUACAAUGUAUAGAUGCUUUGAGGUUUAAGUCAUUGAAAUUUGGAGGUAUUGGGAUUUUUAUGUUGUCCCAUGUACAUUAUGUAAUUUAAUGAUGGUCCAUAACUAGCCCCAUAGAAAUCCAAAGUCAACCUGAAUUUAUCACAGGCAUUACAAUAGGGUCUUGUGCAGCUGCACUCCAAAUUGAUGAUUUAAAGCCAAUUUACACUUGAUCUGAAAAUGUGGUGGAGGCUUUGUAUGGAGAGUGUGACACAAUUGCAGUGCCAAAUCAAGCUCCGUACUGCAUUUGCAUUGCCGUGCAUCUCUCAAAUCUUGUAAUAAUGUGGAGGGCUCCGCAUUGACAUGAUUGCUUGGUGGGGGUGGGAGGUUCUGUGUAAACACACUCACCUUGUGAUGCGCAAAAAGUAUGUUUGUUCUAAUUUCUGCGGAGGUCCCAUCGCAGUAAAUGCUGUACUACCACUGCAGAUGUCAGAUUGACCAUGCAGAGCUUUUAAUUUGUGUGCUGCCAGCUGUGGGCAGGAUUGAAACAAACCCAACCUUCAUUUACGUUGUGAUGCAGUCACUACCACAAAACUCUUGUUUUGGAAAAGACUGACUUUAUCACCAAAAUGAUCCUAUUUACACAUUGUAGGACAUUUUGACAGAAUAAUAAAUGUUGACUCAUACUGUAGAUGUCACACCCCGUUUUCUAAAUGAGAAAUUGUUUUAUUAGGGGUAGUUUCUCUUUAACGGUUGGCUCUUGCGUAGGCACCAAUGUGAGGGAGUUAUUUUACACUGGCCUGGUUUUUUAAUCCAGGCUCUUCACGUCAUCGGGCGAAAGCGGGGGGGGAGGAGUACCCUUCUCAAAUCAAACAGUAAUCUGCACCAGUCGGUCAUGUCAACAAGCAUGCUCUCAUCGUCCAGAAUCUCUUUUCCAUGAAAUAAAUGUGAUAAUUUGAGACAGUGUUUUUAUAACAAAAUGUAUCAUAUUCACUACAUAUGCUUAAUUACUUUUGUUUUGAGACUACUUUGCCGUCGGACGGAGCAGGCACCUGGAUCACGCCCAGGAGGCAGACCGAUUCCAAAUCAAAUGCAAUCAUUUUCCAGAUGAUGCAAAACACACCUACACAGGUGUGAUUAAUCAAACCCCCUCAUUAGCAGCUGGGUCUGGCCUGUUUAGCUAAUUGACUGUAUAUGAACCAGAAAAAAAAGGAGCGAGUGUGACGUCUCGCUUCGUCUUCUGCCUCUGGUAUUAUCCCGGCCAGGGCACAAAAAAUCCUGAUUCCACUAAUCACCUCACCUCCUUACACCAAACCAAUUAGCUGAUCAGCUAAGGACGCCCUGACUGCUGAUUGAUGACAUGAAGUGGUUGUGAGAGUAAUGGCAUUGUGGCGUCUGUCUGUUUGAAGGCUAUUUUCUAGAGCUUGGCAGAAGCCCCACCUGACUCCUCUGGAGAGAAGCUGAUGGAGGGCUGAGUGAGGACUGCUUGGUGGGCACAUAAUUCACAUACACUACUGUUAAGAGCACCAAGCCCACACAUUUAGAUCUGUCUCGAGAAGAAGCAGAUUAUGGUGGACCGGAGGGACCAAGGAAACUAGAAGCCUAAGAAGAUGACCCCUAUCACUUCUGGCAUCUUGUCGACAGCAAGUUCAUCUUCUGCUCCCAGUCAUUGAAGUUCAUCAACAGCGACGGCGUGUGAUCGGAAAGCAGACUGUGCCAGUAAAGAGGCUGAGCUCACCUGUAUCCAGCCAAACAGCCAAUGCCACCUUCCCAAGCAAAACCCACAGCACCCACUCCACUGUCUGUUUUAUCUUCUCUCUAUCAUCAUCCUCUCAUCUCACCAUACCUCUCUCUGCCUCUACCUUCUCUUAAAGAGCCAAUCUGCAGUUGCUACAUACAUUUUUGGACUUAUAAAUGAACAAGAUAUAUAUAUAUAUAUGAUUCUUGAAGAAUGUAAUUUAUCAAUGCCUCGUAAACUGAGUUUAACUGUUUUACCCCAUCCGAACAUAAUAUACUUUGGCUUAAAACAAGCUUAAUCUUUGUCAACAAAGUAAAUAUACACAAACAUAUAGUCUUAACAUGGUUCAAAAUACAAUUUUGAUAUCAUGGAGGUCAGCCCCAUCCCUCAGCUUUUUACUGAAACGGGUGGGGAAUUGGCUUUGUUAUUGUUUCAACUGCCGAUUGCCUCUAACUCAUCCUCUUUCUCUGCUCAGUGUGGUUGAUGGAGGGCAAAGUGGAUGUGUGUCAGGUGAAGCUCCUCCACCAUUACACACAGGCCUACAAAAUGUCUAACUUUAGGUGACAGUGGGGGUCCCCUUGUGUUCCUAUCCUGGUUUUGGCAGCUGGUGGGGGUGGUGAGCUGGGGGGUGGGCUGUGCCCGCCGGGGCACCCUGGGGUCUACUGCAGAAAGUACUACUGAAAAUCCAGUUUCUCUCAGCGGUAACUACUGAAAACUGACUGGUAUUCUCUCUCGAUGAGCGCUGAGUGGUUCUGGAAAACAUUCACACAGUCAAAAGACAUACACACUGCACUGACUUACAAUACUGACCUGUAAAGUUUCUUUGUGUUCUUAUUUUAUAUUAUCUUAGAGAUGUAAGUACUUUAGGAGUUAUGUAUUUCAUUUUUUACUAAUAUUUUAUGGUUGAUUAAUGAUUUGUCCAAUUUUGACAGGCAAAAAAAAGACAAUGUACUGUUAUAUACAAAAGUUUAUUGGAUUCUUGUGGCUUUUUAUAAUAAAUAAUAUUUGAGCAGAUAUGCAUGAUGGAAAGAUUACAUGGGAGGCAUCAUUUGAGGGAAUAGGAGAAACAUGGCUGUACAUUCAUAUUAGUUGGAAGAUGAAUGUGGGACUAAGGGGUCAGUAAUGUCUGGGUACAUUAUAGAUUCAAACAUUCUGUUGUCUUAAGUGCAAUAAUGGAUGAGGUCACUAUUUCCGCGACUACAACUUGGCACAACAAAGUGUUCUCAGAAUUUCCAAACCACAAAGAUUGAACUUUUGCUUCACCUAUCCAGUUUUCAGUACAGUUGUCAAAAUAAAGGGAACAAGGAAGACAGUUGGUACUAGGUCAUCCAGAACUGUGUAAGGGCAUUUCAACAGAACACGUGAGUCACUUUCACAGUUCGGCUUUGUUUAGAGGUUAUACAUGUAACAUUUCCACCUGCAACUAGCGCCAAAUGUCAAUUACAUACCAGUAGAAGCAAAGGAAUAGGAAUCACAAGAAUAAAAUCUACUUUUUAGAAAGCUGCGUGACGCUGCAAAUUAGUUGUGUACAACUUCCUGCAUUACGAUUGGUUCUCGUUUGUGAGGUUGACAACAAUAGCAAGAACAUUAGCAGUACAAAUCUUUUUCGGAUUGUGAUACGGUAAGCUGUACUAUGUCAUUUGUAAGCAGUCGCCUUUAAAAAAAAAAACAUGAUGCAAUUGGAUUUAUGGCUUACAUCUUACAUGUUGCUCCUUGAAAUUACACUGUAUAUUGCAUAGCUCCAUAGGUUCUAACAUUCAGGAACCUUUGAAGGUCUUUUAACACAUCACAACAGACCUACACUUGACAUGAGAGAAGAUACAACUAUGUGCCUUCCAAACAUUGACAAAAAAGGGCCACAUACUGUAGUAACAGAAAAAAGAGGCUAGCUUCCCAGAGUGAGAAGGGAAAGCUUAUACAUCAGUGCAUUACAGGCAAAAUAAGUAUUCAAAUCUGAGCAGAAAGGUCUGCACUAUGUACUUCUCCUUUGUACUUAAUUGAUUGGCCAGAAUCUCUAUACAGGUGAUUUCACAGGUCUGAACCAGACAGUCUCCGUUUAAAAACAAUGAAAACUAGCAGUGCUGCAGACCUCAAGGACUGAAUAGCCUUGCACUAUAAGCCUAUGUUCCUCAUCUACCCUGGAUCAACUCCAUAUCUCAUAUGCCACUUUGAUUACUGUUGCUCUUGUCAUUUUUAUUGCUUACAUUAUCACAGUAAAAGGAACUCAAAAUGGUUUAUUGGAAUCCUGCAGUAGCUACAGUAUAGUUAUGUUGAUGUGAUGUCAGGGCAGCUUUGCGAAAGCAAAUCCCAUUGAGGGAACUGCAGCAGCCUGUCCUACAGUGCGUGGAUGUCUUCCUCUCCGUAGUGGUGUUUGUGUUUGCAUAGUAUCACUGUUAUCUUAGGAGAGUAUGAAUCAGCCAGGGAUUCAGUGCCACAAGCUCAAAGCCAUGUCCAACCAGAGAUAGUACAUGUACUACUGUCAAUGGCCAAACCAUGGUGUCGGUCUGUUCUCAUCUAAGACAGCAAAGAUCAUUCAUUCAACUUUACCCUCAUGUUAAAUAUACAUUUAGGUUCAUUCACUCACUGCUCCACCGAUACAACACAUCUCUGUUUACACACAUGUCUAGCACAGCCGAAGAAUAUACAUAUCUACGGUAAAGUGCCCAAAAUAUCCUCCUGCUAUUGCUACAAGCCAGUGCAUUUAUUUGAAGGGCUAUGCUAUGGGAACAGCAACACCAGGGGUUGUCCACAUUAGAAACAGGUUCAGCAAGUGAUUGAGGGAGGUAUAUUUGUUAUGUUUAUACAAUGACAGAUUCAGCAAGGUCCUGGACAAUGGACAUAGACGUGAAUUUCUUCCCUGAACAUGGUUUUUCCACAAUUUUGUCACACACUGGAAGUAUCUUCAAAACAACUAUUGUAUCUUGACAUUGUAGUUCACUAGCAAUGUGUUUCCAUUGCUAGUCAAUGACAUUCCAUUCCUGAUCAGAUAUGGAUUUUCUCCCAGUCCAUUCCUGAUCAGACAUGGGUUUCUCAGGGUUAUCCUAGUCCAUUCCUGAUCAGACGUGGGUUUCUCAGGGUUAUCCCAGUCCAUUCCUGAUCAGACAUGGGUUUCUCAGGGUUAUCCCAGUCCAUUCCUGAUCAGACGUGGGUUUCUCAGGGUUAUCCCAGUUUGGCAAAAUAAAUGGGCUGAAUAUGAGAUAUUAGUUGUGUGUCUAUUCUACACUGUCUAGUAAAGAUCGGUUCCAGUCUUUCACGCUACCUGCAACCUAAAUGCU
Oncorhynchus kisutch (coho salmon) is the source of this 5005-nucleotide long non-coding RNA. RefSeq lists it as uncharacterized. The record is from RefSeq and is a predicted model, not a curated record. NCBI's taxonomy places the organism in Eukaryota, Metazoa, Chordata, Actinopteri, Salmoniformes, Salmonidae. The transcript is spliced from 6 exons.